UCAGACGAUGCGUCAUGCAUAUCAAUAAGCGGAGGAAAAGAAACUAACAAGGAUUCCCCUAGUAACGGCGAGUGAAGCGGGAAGAGCUCAAAUUUGAAAUCUUAAAGGGUUUCCCUUUACGAAUUGUAGUUUAAAGAAGUGUUUUCUGUUGAGGUUUUGGUAAAAGUUCUUUGGAAUAGGACAUCAUAGAGGGUGAGAAUCCCGUAUUUGACCUUUACUUUCAACUUUGUGAUACACUUUCAAAGAGUCGGAUUGUUUGGGAAUGCAGUCCAAAAUGGGUGGUAAAUUUCAUCUAAGGCUAAAUAUUGGCGAGAGACCGAUAGCGAACAAGUACCGUGAGGGAAAGAUGAAAAGAACUUUGAAAAGAGAGUUAAACAGUACGUGAAAUUGUCAAAAGGGAAGCGUUUGACACCAGUGUUGUUUUUCUGAAAAUCAAUUAAAGAACUGUUUAUGCUAAGCUGUUUAGACUUUAUCAGCUAAUCUGUUUAGUUUUGAGCUUUUCUUUAAUGCACUUUUCAGUUAACAAGUCAACAUCAAUUUCUUUUGCUGUAAAAAAGCUUGAGGAAGGUGGCUUGAGAUUCGUCUUAAGUGUUUAUAGCCUCUUGCCUAUGCAGUCGGAGAGAUUGAGGUCUGCAGCGUAGAUCCUUCGGGGCUAAAUGCAUUUGUGCUAAGUUAUAGCAUUUUAUAGACAACUUGUUGACUAUGAUUUGUCUUGUAGCUUACUCGCUUAUGUUAUUUUACCUACGCUUAGGAUGUUGACACACGCGCGUGCUCG
RNAcentral lists this ribosomal RNA (775 nucleotides) under uncultured Neocallimastigales. RNAcentral's name for it is "partial large subunit ribosomal RNA". It matches the Rfam family "Eukaryotic large subunit ribosomal RNA", at positions 18 to 643 of the family's 3401-position model. Lineage: Eukaryota; Fungi; Neocallimastigomycota; Neocallimastigomycetes; Neocallimastigales. The record is from RNAcentral.